RNAcentral lists this transfer RNA (701 nucleotides) under Borrelia hermsii. RNAcentral's name for it is "partial contains 16S ribosomal RNA and 16S-23S ribosomal RNA intergenic spacer". The stretch from base 94 to 168 matches the Rfam family "tRNA". Lineage: Bacteria; Pseudomonadati; Spirochaetota; Spirochaetia; Spirochaetales; Borreliaceae. The record is from RNAcentral.
CUGGAUCACCUCCUUUCUAAGAGAAAGAAAUGAUUUAAUUAUUUAAGGUAAAGCAUUAUUUUAACUCUUCCUUUGUCUUCUCAAAGACUUUUUGGGGGUUUAGCUCAGUUGGUUUAGAGCAUCGGCUUUGCAAGCCGGGGGUCAAGGGUUCGAGUCCCUUAACCUCCAUUUGUUUAUUGCAAAAAUGAAUGGAGGUUGUGCCUUCUAAAUAUCAGCUUGAGCUUUAUCAAUUUAAAUUGUCUUUAAUAAUUAAAAAUAAUCUAAUUGAAAUUUUGAUGUCCAGAUAAAACAUUUCUUUUUUAAAAGUUUUUCUUAAGUUUAAUAAUUUAUUAGGUCAAGAGAUUGCAUCUAUAGGAUAGAUUAUAAAAAAUAACGAUAUGUUAUCCAUGUUAUUUUUAAGUUAUCUUAUUUAGAUUAAUUUAAGUUUUUGUGGCUUGUAGGAAAUAAUAUUACUUCGUGUAAAGUUUAAUAUGUUUGAUGUUUGUGUCUAUCUUUAAUGAAUCAAUAUAAUACAUGGUUUAAUAUUUGAGCUUGUAGUUUUGAUUAUUAUAUUACCCGUUCUUUAUGGUUUAGUUAUAAAUUUUUUGCAUAUAUGUGAAAUUUGAUUAAAACUUAAAAAAUCCGUCUUGAAUUGUUUUGCCUAGGUUAUUAAAUCUUUAAAAGGAUUUGAGUGUAAAAUUGGGACCAGGAGGAGUUGAACC